UGAACAGCUCCCACUCACGUGUGCCCCCGAAUGUCCACGCUCUUUGCUUUUCUAAAUGGCAAAUACCAUAUAGUGGUAUAUGCUGAAUGUGUCCCCCACAAAGAGAGAUCGGUAGAGCA
This is a long non-coding RNA of Lynx canadensis (Canada lynx), 119 nucleotides long. RefSeq lists it as uncharacterized. The record is from RefSeq and is a predicted model, not a curated record. NCBI's taxonomy places the organism in Eukaryota, Metazoa, Chordata, Mammalia, Carnivora, Felidae. The transcript is spliced from 3 exons.